This 76-nucleotide transfer RNA is filed under the name Planctomycetota bacterium. RNAcentral describes it as "tRNA-Ala". It matches the Rfam family "tRNA". Rfam says of the family: Transfer RNA (tRNA) molecules are approximately 80 nucleotides in length. Their secondary structure includes four short double-helical elements and three loops (D, anti-codon, and T loops). The record is from RNAcentral. Lineage: Bacteria; Pseudomonadati; Planctomycetota.
GGGGGCUUUGCUCAGUUGGUAGAGCGUCGGGUUCGCAAUGCGAAGGUCGAGGGUUCGACUCCCUUAGCCUCCACCA